This is a non-coding RNA of Neolamprologus brichardi, 248 nucleotides long. The record is from RefSeq and is a predicted model, not a curated record. Lineage: Eukaryota; Metazoa; Chordata; Actinopteri; Cichliformes; Cichlidae.
UCGGGAUAAUGAGGAGGACUCUGCUGCUGCUGGCCUCUCUGGCCUUUGCUUCUCUCACUUGUGUAGCUGAUGGAGCUCCAUUGCAAGUGAUGUCUGCCCCAAACUUGUUGCGGGUGGGAACUGCAGAAAACAUCUUUGUGGAGUGUCAAGACUGCACUGUAGGAGACGUUAGGGUUGAAAUCAAUGUGAUGAACCAUCCAACCAAAACUAAAAGGCUGGCAACAACAUCUGUGACCCUCAACGAUGCA